GGUGGCUCAGUGGUAGAGUGCUUGCCUUGCAUGCAUGAGACCCUGGGAUUGAUUCUCAACACCA
RNAcentral lists this transfer RNA (64 nucleotides) under Dipodomys ordii (Ord's kangaroo rat). It matches the Rfam family "tRNA". Rfam says of the family: Transfer RNA (tRNA) molecules are approximately 80 nucleotides in length. Their secondary structure includes four short double-helical elements and three loops (D, anti-codon, and T loops). The record is from Rfam by way of RNAcentral. Lineage: Eukaryota; Metazoa; Chordata; Mammalia; Rodentia; Heteromyidae.